This 801-nucleotide ribosomal RNA is filed under the name uncultured archaeon. Its description in RNAcentral is "bacterial SSU rRNA". It matches the Rfam family "Archaeal small subunit ribosomal RNA", at positions 102 to 903 of the family's 1478-position model. The record is from RNAcentral.
AGUCAACCUACCCUAUGGACGGGAAUAACCUCGGGAAACUGAGUAUAAUGCCCGAUAGAACAUUAUGCCUGGAAUUGGUUUAUGUUCCAAAUGAUUUAUCGCCGUAGGAUGGGACUGCGGCCUAUCAGUUUGUUGGUGAGGUAAUGGCCCACCAGGACUAUUACAGGUACGGGCUCUGAGAGGAGUGGCCCGGAGAUGGGUACUGAGACACGGACCCAGGCCCUAUGGGGCGCAGCAGGCGAGAAAACUUUGCAAUGUGCGAAAGCACGACAAGGUUAAUCCGAGUGGUUUCUGCUAAAGAAACCUUUUGUUAGUCCUAGAAACACUAACGAAUAAGGGGUGGGCAAGUUCUGGUGUCAGCCGCCGCGGUAAAACCAGCACCUCAAGUGGUCAGGAUGAUUAUUGGGCCUAAAGCAUCCGUAGCCUGCUCUGUAAGUUUUCGGUUAAAUCUGUACGCUUAACGUACAGGCUGCCGGGAAUACUGUAGAGCUAGGGAGUGGGAGAGGUAGACGGUACUCGGGAGGAAGUGGUAAAAUGCUUUGAUCUCUCGAUGACCACCUGUGGCGAAGGCGGUCUACCAGAACACGUCCGACGGUGAGGGAUGAAAGCUGGGGGAGCAAACCGGAUUAGAUACCCGGGUAGUCCCAGCUGUAAACUAUGCAAACUCAGUGAUGCGUUGGCUUGUGGCCAAUGCAGUGUUGCAGGGAAGCCGUUAAGUUUGCCGCCUGGGAAGUACGUACGCAAGUAUGAAACUUAAAGGAAUUGGCGGGGGAGCACCACAAGGGGUGAAGCCUGCGGUUC